RNAcentral lists this ribosomal RNA (253 nucleotides) under uncultured bacterium. Its description in RNAcentral is "partial 16S ribosomal RNA". It matches the Rfam family "Bacterial small subunit ribosomal RNA", at positions 524 to 776 of the family's 1533-position model. The record is from RNAcentral.
UACGAAGGGUGCAAGCGUUAAUCGGAAUUACUGGGCGUAAAGCGCACGUAGGCGGUUUUUUAAGUCAGAUGUGAAAGCCCCGGGCUCAACCUGGGAAUUGCAUUUGAAACUGGGGAACUAGAGUGUGUGAGAGGGGGGUAGAAUUCCAAGUGUAGCGGUGAAAUGCGUAGAGAUUUGGAGGAAUACCAGUGGCGAAGGCGGCCCCCUGGCACAACACUGACGCUCAGGUGCGAAAGCAUGGGGAGCAAACAGG